RNAcentral lists this long non-coding RNA (280 nucleotides) under Olea europaea (common olive). Its description in RNAcentral is "long non-coding RNA (OEUR_LNC013925)". The record is from RNAcentral. Lineage: Eukaryota; Viridiplantae; Streptophyta; Magnoliopsida; Lamiales; Oleaceae.
GCCAGAGAACUGCAUUUCCAAAGAACUUUUAAAGAAAGAGGUCUUGUUCUACCUGAAGUAAAUGAACCUAUAUUUCUCAACUCCGAUGAAUGAUCAGUUAGGAAUAAAAAGAAACCAAUGAUUCAGAGUAGAAAAGAAUAUAUAGGAAGAGAAGAGGACAGAGGAUGAUAGACUUUUCACCUCUGAAGAAUCAAGUUUCUGAAGAAAAUAAGUAUAGGGAAGUUUAGGACGGUAGCGCCACCAUCUUUUUGAGAUCCAUAGUGCCCUUGUUCCUCGUGUU